GACGAACGCUGGCGGCAUGCCUAAUACAUGCAAGUCGAACGAUGAUGUCCUCGGCUUACGGAGAAUUGAAGAGUAGCGAACGGGUUAGCAACACGUGGUCAACCUGCCCAUGAGAAGCGGAUGACAUUCGGAAACGGAUGCUAAUACCGCAUAAUGCUUUGCUCCGCCUGGUCCAGAGACUAAAGACGUCUUUUGCUGUCACUCAUGGAUGGACCCGCGCCGUCUUUACUAGUUGGUGAGGUAAUGGCACACCAAAGCUGUGAUACGUACCCGACCUGAGAGGGUGAUGGGCCACACUGGAACUGAGAAACGGCCAAGACUCCUACGAGACGCAGCAGUAGGGAAUAUUGGAGAAAGGAGGAAAGAAUGUUGCAGCAAGGCCGCGUGAAUGAAGAAGGACUUCGGAUCGUAAAAUUCUGUUAUUAGGGAAGAAAAACUCAAGGAAUAACUGUCAUGACUUUGACGGUACCUAACCAGAAAGUCACGGCUAACUACGUG
This 498-nucleotide ribosomal RNA is filed under the name uncultured bacterium. Its description in RNAcentral is "partial 16S ribosomal RNA". It matches the Rfam family "Bacterial small subunit ribosomal RNA", at positions 28 to 507 of the family's 1533-position model. The record is from RNAcentral.